AAUUACAAUUAAAGAUUAGCAAAUAUAAUCAAACAUCAAUCAAAUUCAAUUAAAAUUUUAAAAGAAUUAUACAAAAAAUACAAAGAAUUCUUAAAGACUUUUUAAAGAAAUCAUAAAGAAAUAACAUAGAAAUUUAAAAAAAUAUACUAAAAUAGAAAUCUUAAUAAAACAUCAAAAAAAAAUUUAAAUUAAAUCCUAAUCAAAACCUAGUCAAACUUUAGUCAAACCUUAAUCAAAUCCUAAUCAAAUCCUUGUCAAAUCCUAGUCAAAUCCUAAAUAAGUCUUAAUAAAAUCCUAAUUAAAUCCUAAUCAAAUUCUAAUCAAAUCCUAAUCAAAUUCUAAACAAAUUCCAACCAAAUCCUAAUCAAAUGCUAAAUAAAUCUUAAUCAAAUCUUAAAUAAAUCUUAAAUAAGUCCUAAUCUAUAUCAAAUCCUAACUCUAACCAAAUCUUAAAUCAAAUUCAAAACUAUGAUCCUAAUCCUAAUCAAAUCCUAAUCCUAACCAAACCUUAAAUCAAUCCAAAUUCCAAACUCUAAUCUUAAAUCAAAUCCUAAACUGAAUCCUG
Molecule: long non-coding RNA, 565 nt
Filed under: Physcomitrium patens
Lineage: Eukaryota; Viridiplantae; Streptophyta; Bryopsida; Funariales; Funariaceae
Description: long non-coding RNA (PPAT_LNC002550)
Source: RNAcentral